Molecule: ribosomal RNA, 448 nt
Filed under: uncultured bacterium
Lineage: Bacteria
Description: partial 16S ribosomal RNA
Rfam family: Bacterial small subunit ribosomal RNA
Source: RNAcentral
AGCGAACGCUGGCGGCAGGCUUAACACAUGCAAGUCGAACGCCCCGCAAGGGGAGUGGCAGACGGGUGAGUAACACGUGGGAACGUACCCUUUGGUUCGGAAUAACUUGGGGAAACUCAAGCUAAUACCGGAUAAGCCCUUAUGGGGAAAGGUUUACUGCCGGAGGAUCGGCCCGCGUCUGAUUAGCUAGUUGGUGAGGUAAUGGCUCACCAAGGCGACGAUCAGUAGCUGGUCUGAGAGGAUGAUCAGCCACACUGGGACUGAGACACGGCCCAGACUCCUACGGGAGGCAGCAGUGGGGAAUAUUGGACAAUAGGGGCAACCCUGAUCCAGCCAUGCCGCGUGAGUGAUGAAGGCCUUAGGGUUGUAAAGCUCUUUUACCCGGGACGAUAAUGACUGUACCGGGGAGAAUAAGCCCCGGCUAACUUCGUGCCAGCCGCCGCUGUAA